AGUAAUGCGUGACCAACCUCGCCCCAUGCUCCAGAAUAGCUCUUGGAAACGGGUGGUAAUGCUGGAUGCUCCAACUUGACGCAUGUCUUGUUGGGAAAGUGUUUAGUGGCAUGGGAUGGGGUCGCGUCCUAUCAGCUUGUAGGCGGGGUAAUGGCCCACCUAGGCUUCGACGGGUAGCCGGCCUGAGAGGGCGGACGGCCACAUUGGGACUGAGAUACGGCCCAGACUCCUACNGGGGAGGCAGCAGCG
This 249-nucleotide ribosomal RNA is filed under the name uncultured Gardnerella sp. RNAcentral's name for it is "partial 16S ribosomal RNA". It matches the Rfam family "Bacterial small subunit ribosomal RNA", at positions 109 to 356 of the family's 1533-position model. The record is from RNAcentral. Lineage: Bacteria; Bacillati; Actinomycetota; Actinomycetes; Bifidobacteriales; Bifidobacteriaceae.